Molecule: long non-coding RNA, 592 nt
Organism: Culex pipiens pallens (northern house mosquito)
Lineage: Eukaryota; Metazoa; Arthropoda; Insecta; Diptera; Culicidae
Exons: 2
Source: RefSeq, a predicted model, not a curated record
UUCAGCCCUUUGCGUUUUAGCGCCUUUGUAAACAUUGACAGUUUCGUUUUCCACAUGGUCCCUGGGCCAGACAGGAUGACGGUUUGUUUUUGUUGUUCUUUUGUUUUUGGCCAAGCAGGCCAAAUCAAAACAGAAUCAGCUUUGCUGUUUGGUCUUUUGCAAGCAAAGUAAUUUUAUUAGUUUUUAAAGCUUUUUUUCACUUGCCGCGGCCAGUUUAAAGUAUUUUUGAGUGAAAUACAAGUCUGAUCGCGAUAUUGAAGUGUGCAUCUUGGUGUGCAUAAUCGAUUUUCCAAUCAGAGUUACACCGGAGACGUCCCACGAUGUGCCAAUGGCAAUAAUUUUUCGCUGCAAGCUGCAACGGGUGAGAAUGUUUCGUCGGAUCUGGGCCCAAACUGAACGUCCUGUUUUAUUGGAAGGUGUCCAUCGAAUCGCCGGCAUCACAGAAUCGGUCAACAAGGCGUCGGGUAUUUUCGGCUUCCCUUAGUAUCGAGACUUAGGGCCACCAGCAUCGAAGCCGGAAAAUCAUUUGGCCGUCUUGGUCGAACUGCGGAAUGCUUCCUACGGGCUGGAGGCUUCGAUGGUAUGAGCGGCU